Molecule: ribosomal RNA, 332 nt
Filed under: uncultured bacterium
Lineage: Bacteria
Description: bacterial SSU rRNA
Rfam family: Bacterial small subunit ribosomal RNA
Source: RNAcentral
GGGUGAGUAAUGCUUCGGAAUCUGCCCAGUAGUGGGGAAUAACCUAGGGAAACUUAGGCUAAUACCGCAUACGAACUACGGUUGAAAGCAGGGGAUCGCAAGACCUUGCGCUAUUGGAUGAGCCGAAGUCGGAUUAGCUAGUUGGUGAGGUAACGGCUCACCAAGGCGACGAUCCGUAGCUGGUCUGAGAGGACGACCAGCCACACUGGGACUGAGACACGGCCCAGACUCCUACGGGAGGCAGCAGAGGGGAAUAUUGGACAAUGGGGGCAACCCCUGAUCCAGCGACGCCGCGUGUGUGAAGAAGGCCUGCGGGUUGUAAAGCACUUUUA